This 365-nucleotide ribosomal RNA is filed under the name uncultured Bacteroidales bacterium. RNAcentral's name for it is "bacterial SSU rRNA". It matches the Rfam family "Bacterial small subunit ribosomal RNA", at positions 529 to 896 of the family's 1533-position model. The record is from RNAcentral. Lineage: Bacteria; Pseudomonadati; Bacteroidota; Bacteroidia; Bacteroidales.
GGGAUGCGAGCGUUAUCCGGAUUUAUUGGGUUUAAAGGGUGCGUAGGCGGCGCUUCAGGUCAGCGGUGAAAUACCGGGGCUCAACCCCGGGGCUGCCGUUGAAACCGGAGCGCUAGAAUUCCGAUGCCGUCGGAGGAAUGUGUGGUGUAGCGGUGAAAUGCAUAGAUAUCACACAGAACACCGAUUGCGAAGGCAUCUGACGAAUCGGAGAUUGACGCUGAUGCACGAAAGCGUGGGUAUCGAACAGGAUUAGAUACCCUGGUAGUCCACGCUGUAAACGAUGAUGACUAGCCGUCGGCGAUACAGUGUCGGUGGUCAAGCGAAAGCGAUAAGUCAUCCACCUGGGGAGUACGGCCGCAAGGCUG